RNAcentral lists this ribosomal RNA (468 nucleotides) under uncultured bacterium. Its description in RNAcentral is "partial 16S ribosomal RNA". It matches the Rfam family "Bacterial small subunit ribosomal RNA", at positions 28 to 507 of the family's 1533-position model. The record is from RNAcentral.
GACGAACGCUGGCGGCGUGCUUAACACAUGCAAGUCGAACGGAAAGGCCCUGCUUUCGUGGGGCGCUAGUGUGGCGCACGGGAGUGUAACAUGUGAGUAACCUGCUCUUGACUUUGGGAUAACUUCAGGAAACUGUGGCAAAUACCGGAUAGGAGCUCCUGCUGCAUGGUGGGGGUUGGAUAGUUUCGGCGGUUGGGGAUGGACUGGCGGCUUAUCAGCUUGUUGGUGGGGUAGUGGCUUACCAAGGCUUUGACGGGUAGCCGGCCUGAGAGGGUGACCGGCCACAUUGGGACUGAGAUACGGCCCAGACUCCUACGGGAGGCAGCAGUGGGGAAUAUUGCACAAUGGGCGGAAGCCUGAUGCAGCAACGCCGCGUGCGGGAUGACGGCCUUCGGGUUGUAAACCGCUUUCGCCUGUGACGAAGCGUGAGUGACGGUAAUGGGUAAAGAAGCACCGGCUAACUACGUG